UGGCGACGUAUUAACCGUCGAUAACCAGCUGAAGCAGCUCAAGCUCAAGUUCUCGAGUGGAACGAGGUUGACCGUGCGCAGUGGCAGCCGUUGACAACAAAAACAAUGUAUGCACUCAGCUUCGCCGGAUGAGUGCCGGCGUCGAUCGCGAACCGCCAGAGCCGCCAAAUACCUCUCGUACAUCUCCAAGAACACCAAGAACAGGAGGUAUUCAUAAAGGUCUGAACCACGCGAGGAUCGUCUCGAAGCAUGGUAGCCUCAACAGACGCUUGCCGCCACACGCGAGGAGAAAGCAGGAGGCCCGAAGUUUGAAUGUGAAGUUUUCAGAGGAGGUGCGAAGAGCUGGCCCUCACUUUUUCAAGGCAGCCGCAGAACACUACGAGCCCCGAAUCACUGCCGCGGCUGACUCACGCGGAUGCUGUGCUGCACCCUGCACUGCACAUGGUUCGAAGCACACUUCAGGGGACCAGUGCAUGCCCCUGAUGCAUCGUCGCGGUAUGUUUUGUACUGCUUUUCCUAGCGGUGCACUGAGCAGUCCAAUCUUGAAGGGAGCACGCGAGUGCGUAGCCAGUGCUCCAUGCAGCGAGGACCGCAAGCACCCGCGGAAGCUUGGAGCACACGCAGUGACGCCAGCAGCCGUGCACGCUGGCGUCGUCUGCUACUGUACCGUCCUUUCGUUCGGUGCGCAGAAAAAAAAAGGAGUGACCGCUCUGUUAAAAGUCUGAUGGUGAAGGCAUCCUUUACAGAAGCACUGUAUGGCUCUCUGCACGCUAGAAUGGGGGCUGUCGUUGAUGCUCGCAGAGGCGUCGCCCACAACUAAGCAGACGACCAAAGUCCUGAGCAGGUCCCGGGGAUCAUGGCAUCGAUGAGCUCGCUUUCGCCUUGUCCAAGGUAGCAGCGGAACACUACGGGCAGGCCCGGAGUCACCGCACCGGCUGGCUCACGGGCGUCGUCCUGUACUCUGCACGGCACUGCGUGUGGCUUAACCAGCCAAGCAGAGGGUCACUGCAUGACCUUUAUGAGGCGUCGCUAGCCAUUGUAAGUAUAUUUUGGACGCUCGUGUCAGGGGAUGUACUUUUGUGUUCUACAACAGAACAUGUUUGGUGGCGGUUCAGUCUUGCCAAUUCAGCCAUUUCGAAACAUAAUUUUGUGGCGACUUGGCUUAGGUUUUCUGGCUCGGCCGUCUUUUGCACCAGUGUCUAGGCUCGGCGUAAGCCUCUUAGUUCUUUAUUGUCAAGGCUAGUGUAAUUUCUGCUACGCCGUCGAAGCAACUUCUGCAUGCGAACAAGAUGCAAGACGAAGCUACAUGCUCGUGCACAGUGCAUGACCACAUGUGAAAACUAAUAGAGAGUUUGUUUCGCUGGAAUCGUGCCCAUGCGCACCCACUUGCAACAUGAAGUGAGUUUGUUUCGCCGCCGGCACUCCACACGUGCAUGCGCUCGCUGCGCCCUGAGAAUUAAGUGUGUACCUGAAUGCACUCCCGUCAUGCAUCACUUAGGCAGGGAACAAGAGCAGAUGACUGGUUUGUCCACCAUGCGGGACAGUAGAACUGCAGAAAAAGUGAACUUUCUGCUAAAAAAAUGACGUCCCACGAGCAACAAAAUCGGACACGAGCUUGAAUUGUGUGUCUGCUAUUCUAUAAAGCAAGCAAUCCACAACCUGUACUUAACUUGCAAGUUUUCAGUCAUUUUGUUGCUGUACAGACGUCCAUAUACACCGGUGGAUAAAGAAAGGUUCAGAACGAACAUCAGCCACCGCGAGAUAUCUCUCACCAUCCGUGCGGGGCUAAAGAGUUGGGACGUUAGUUGACAAAGCUUGCCCGGCAGAAACCUGCGACGCGUCCAGUCGGGAGCCGAGAAAGCUAAACUGUUUUUACCCGAGGCUUGGAUAAAAUCACAGUGUUUAAAAAGGAGCCAUGGAAUUUAUUUUGGGUGGGAUAAAUUAAUUUAGAUUCGUAUUUUGCUAAUACAGUUGAACCUUUCAAGAACGAAAUUCUCGCGGCAACGAAGAAAUCUGGCGGCCCCAGCGAACGUCCAUAGGGUUCAAUGCAUUUGCACCCUCUCAACAGCAAAGAGUUUUAAAAAGCAGUCCCGCAUUAACGAAAGUUUGAGGUAGUGAUCUGCCAUAGAGUUAUUCAAUGUGUCUACCAAGUUGGCAUUUUCAAAUUCCCUGAGUUUUUCAGGUUUCCUCUGAGUACUUUUGUGAAAUUCCCUGAGUGACACAGAACUUUGUUUUAGGUCAAGAUGGGCGGACACCAUGUCGCCACAUGCUGUCACUCUCUAAAAAGCAUGUCAUAAAAUAAAAUAACAACACAAUACAGUUUUGAUGAUAGCGAGUAACUUUUAUUAGAUUUAAAAAGAAAACAGAACGAAGUGGUUAGUAAAAUUGAUAGCGAAUAAAGUAUAAAAAAAGGUAAACUGAGGUUUACGUGACCCCCCCAGGUCUGGUCAUGUGACCUCGGGGGGGGGGUGUCGAGACCUGACGGCGACGCCGCUCAUGCCGGAAACGGGAGCAAUAACAGGGAAAGGAAAGGGUAAACAAACAUAAGGCGUUCAAAGUGCGAUUGCUCAACCCUUGUUGUCAAAACACUCCACCUAACAAAAUCUUUUUUUUUUCUUUUUUUUUUUUAUUUUGGGGCUAAGGAGUCGCACAGUGACAGCGGUGUUUGCACGCGACCGUUCCAACAGCGGGCACUCCCUGCCCUCCCCACGCGCGCAGGUGCCCUUCCCCUUGCUUUUGCCAUCCUCCCCUUCUUUUGUUUUUAUUGGUUGCUUUUUUUAUUUUUUAUACAAUUGCUUUUUCGCUGCGCAUCCCCGCGUGCGCGUAUGCUGGGUUGGCGGUCUGCCAGCCUUGCAACCCGAGCUGUGUGCUCCCUGCCGGCGCAAUCCAACCUAUAGGGAGAAGCGAAGAACGGCCUUCGUUCGCUACAUCGAGUGUCCCCUCCAUGGGAGUUAUGGACAUUCGAUACAGAAAAACAAUGCAAUUUUCUAGGGGAUGUUUGGACUGUUUCAUAUAAACAAUAAUUCGAAAUACGGGUGUGAUAUAACCGGGUUCGACAGUAUGUUUGGCCGUCUCCCUUAAUUUCCAGAUACCUUCGUUCGUUUGGCACGUAUAUCCCCGAUGCUAGAAAGCGCCGACGUUGUGUUCGCGCUGAGAGUGUCCGACAGUGCACAUAAAUACACGUGCGAAGCCGUUUUUGCACCGUUUUUUUUUCCCCAUAGAAAUGCAUUACCGGAAGUCAAUUUUCGACUGGUUGCUGUCUGCUUCAACUUGCGUCGGCACACUAGCACCACUUGAACCUCUAGCGUACAUUACAAUAACCCUACGCGAUCUGCAACAUUUUUUCGUCAAAUGAGCCAGUUUGGAACCGAGAAUUGUGAAAAAUGGAGCAGUACACUCGUCCGACAAGUUGGGCACAUACGUUUCCGACAAGCAUCGGCGCGGCCAUUGCUGUUUACAUUCGGUCAAAUAAUGAUGACAAUGGCAACUAGAUGCUUUUUUUUGGGGGUUGGUGAAAACAGCGUUUUGCUAGCCCAUCUGUUGGCAACUACCUAGGUACGUGACGACACCGCCUGCUGCUAUUUCGCCGUCCGCCGCGUGCACGCCGAGAUCGCUCGCGCCUUGUUUACUACCUUUCGUUUGGCCUGUCGGAAAGAUGCCGCCUCCCAUUAAAAAGUUUAAGUUUUUUGCACUUCAGGAGAACUCUGCGAUCACUGCCAAAGCCAGAAAGAAGUCUGAUAUUACAGAGGAGUUCAGUAUCCUUUGCUUCUCGCUUUCUACGAUUCUGAAAUCCAAGGACAGCAUCAUGAAAAGUAAUAGGUGUGCUUAGUUGUCCAUUUCUGCAGCAGCGAAAUUCUUGCGAGAACGAAAAACGUUUCCUUCCCCCGCGGUUUGGUUAUUACGGGUGUGAUGAUGUGACUUAAUGUGGAAAAGAAGUGCAAGUCAACCCAUGGAUCGGCCUGGAGGGAGAAACGAAGAAGAGAGAUUUUGGAGUGCGUGCUCAGAGGGCGUGAAAAGGACUGGCCGGGAGAUUGUGCAGAGAGCGGAACGACACGAUCGGCCAGGGCAAUCGGCGGCCUCCUACUGUCUGACCAGCAGCCUGUUCCAGCGAGGGCAGCGAAUAGAAACCUACGCUGCCCCCGGCUUCCUACAGCGGGAGCGCUUGGUGCGGUAACUCUGGGGCCGCCGACGGAAGCCAACCGCUCCCGCUCCUGACUUCCAGCCACAACCGUGGGCCGACAACGACAGCACAAGACACACUGCUGCACAGGGACUCAAAGACAUGGUGACUGAUGCGUUUUCCUUUCUUUAACUAAGUUUUCUUUUUUUUGUAUAAGCAUAUGAACCCUUUGAUUUUUUUUUGUAAAUACAAGUUUUCAUGAAAAACGAAGGACA
RNAcentral lists this unclassified non-coding RNA (4395 nucleotides) under Ixodes scapularis (black-legged tick). RNAcentral's name for it is "uncharacterized LOC115311081, transcript variant X1". Lineage: Eukaryota; Metazoa; Arthropoda; Arachnida; Ixodida; Ixodidae. The record is from RNAcentral.